This 617-nucleotide ribosomal RNA is filed under the name uncultured bacterium. RNAcentral's name for it is "bacterial SSU rRNA". It matches the Rfam family "Bacterial small subunit ribosomal RNA", at positions 9 to 596 of the family's 1533-position model. The record is from RNAcentral.
GAGUUUGAUCCUGGCUCAGAACGAACGCUGGCGGCGUGCCUGAGACAUGCAAGUCGUGGGAGAAUGUCGUAGCAAUACGAUUAGUAAACCGGCGUACGGGUGAGUAACACGUGGAUAACGUGCCUUGAAGCCCGGGAUAACCCGUCGAAAGACGGACUAAUACCGGAUAAGACCACGGGAAGUUCGCUUCUUGGGGUAAAAGGUGGCCUCUGCUCCUGCAAGCUAUCACUUCUAGAGCGGUCCGCGGCCUAUCAGCUAGUUGGCGAGGUAAUGGCUCACCAAGGCGAAGACGGGUAGCUGGUCUAAGAGGAUGGUCAGCCACACUGGGACUGAGACACGGCCCAGAGUCCUACGGGAUGCAGCAGUCAGGAAUAUUGCGCAAUGGAGGAAACUCUGACGCAGCGACGCCGCGUGGGUGAUGAAGGCCUUCGGGUCGUAAAGCCCUGUCGGAAGGGAAGAAAAGCUUGUUGGCUAAUAUCCAGCGAGCCUUUGACGGUACCUUCAAAGGAAGCACCGGCUAACUCCGUGCCAGCAGCCGCGGUAAGACGGAGGGUGCAAGCGUUGUUCGGAUUGACUGGGCGUAAAGGGCGUGUAGGCGGUUCGUUAAGUCGGGUGUG